This 56-nucleotide microRNA precursor is filed under the name Heliconius melpomene (postman butterfly). RNAcentral's name for it is "Hme-Mir-193-P2_pre stem-loop". It matches the Rfam family "mir-2788 microRNA precursor family", at positions 21 to 76 of the family's 92-position model. The record is from RNAcentral. Lineage: Eukaryota; Metazoa; Arthropoda; Insecta; Lepidoptera; Nymphalidae.
UGGGGUUUCCUAGCGGCAUGUGCCUUCUUCUAUGCAAUGCCCUUGGAAAUCCCAAA